UAAGGUCAAACUUAGUAAUUAAUAUUAUAUUCUCUUACUAUUAUUAGUUUAUUAUUAUUGAAUAUGGACUUGAGUUUUGAAUUUUCGAUUAUAUUAAAUUUGAUUAAGGCACAAACCUAAAAAAAUAUAUAAACUUGAAAAAAGUAUGCCAACAGCUUAACAUGCACUCCUUAAAAUUUAAAAAAAAAAACAUUUUAUUGGGCUUUUUUUCUUAGGCACGGCACGUGUGUCGGGCCAGGACUAAGCAAAAAAAAUUAGGCAUGGCAUGGCACGGCACGGCACGACACGGUACAUAGCGGGCAUAGCACGGCACGAGCACGAGCACACAUGGGCCUUAUUUUACCAGCCCAGCCCAUUGGCCAUCUCUACAUAUGCAGUAUUGCAAAUAUGCAAAUUAAGUCAUCUUUAAAAAGUCUAAAUAUUUGCAUUCGCCUUAAUGUUUUUCUCUUAAUGUAAGUUUGAUAAAUAUUACGUAAUAAUUUGGUAAUAACUCUAAAUAAUAAAUUAUUAUCUCAAACAACUUUUGAAAAAUAUUUAUUAUAUUUUAAACUAUAUAGCAUAUAUUUUUAACAAUGUACAAAUAACUAUUACUAUGUGAAGUCUAAUUGAUGGAUCUAGAAAAAUUAUAAUUUAUUACAAUGUGAAGUUUAUUCUUAUUUAUAACUAGUUUAGAUUGAACUAAAAUUUUUUAUGAUUACAUAGAUAUUGUUCUUAUAUAAAGUAUCACGAUAGAAAUGUUUUACUGUAUAUACAAAAAAAUAAAUAACUAGAUUUAUUUUAUCUUACUUACCCCCACUUCUCAAUUAACUGCACUAAAAUUUUAAGCAAUCUUUAUUUGUCAAUAGACCUCAUUUAAUCUCCACUUUAACUUUUCUAGAAAUUUUAUCCUUUUCAUACACCCAACCAUUCAUGAAGAACACGAAGAUCUCCAAUCUAAACAAUUGUCAGGCUGAUUUUUGGUAGCAAAUUCAUUUAAAAGAAGUUCCACUCUCACUAGAGUAAUUCGUGAUUAGCCAUCCACAUUCAAUUCAGAGUAAAUUCUAUGUAUGGUGCUUCUCCAGUCGCUCUGGACAUUAUCAGGCUACUGCCGAAACAACGGCUCGUUGUGGUGUGUAGAAUUUUUAGCAAGAAGUUAAACUGAGAUAGAAGUAGUAAAGAAAGAAUGGAUUUUCUUCUCAUUACCCUUCCAGUAGUUCCCCAUUAAAUUUAUAUAGCCUGAUGCGUAAAUUAGUAAGUGUACUAGUCGGCACAAGUAAUAUAAUGAAGAGUAGAACAUCGUUCCACAGAAAUUGUAUAUUCUAUUAGUUAUCGAAAUUAUUAUAGCCCUAAUUUAUUUGAACAAUCGAAUAAGCGAAUUUAGAUUAAAAUAAAAAUAAAAUAAAAAAGUUAAAAAUUAAAUAAAGAUGCAGGCAGUAAUAGAAAUCACUAAGAGAUUAAGACACUAUGACAUCCGAUUUUACCAUAACCAAUACAAUUUAAUCAUCUAUCUAUGCUAUUAAAAUUUAUUACUCAUGUUGACAGUGAAUUUCUCUAAUCUAUUCAAUAUUUUCUCUCGAAUAAUAUAAAAAAUAUCCUCAUAUAUUAACCCACUAUAUCUCUAUGUGAAUUUAAAUAUGCAAAGAUUCUUUAAGUUCUAUGCAAAUUCUUAGAAAAACUGAAUGAAUCACGUUGGUACAUCUAUGUUUUUCGUUCAAUUCAUGGCAUUUAUAAAAAUACACAAAUCUCCUCUCGGUCUCAUUAUGCACCCUCAAAUCAUUCAAAUAUUGGUCAGAUAUUUAAAAGAAUUAAACACAAUAAUAGACACUCAACCAUAAAAUAAUAAACUAAAAAUAACACAGGUUUAUGAAAUUAAAUUUUCAUAAUUAGGCUACAUCAUAGCCCCAAUAAAAUAAAUUAAUUCAUAGAAAUAUAAAGAGAAUCCAUAAAUUUAAUUGAGAACAUUCAAACAAAAUAAUAAAAAAAAAAAAGAGAAAGAGUAAACACAAAAAGUUGUCUCCCUCCAAUCUCUACAAUCGACUUCUCCAAAUUUGCAGCCGCGGCUUCUCUUUUUUUUUUUUUUUUCUUGCUCUCGGUUUUUCUCUCUAAUAUUCGCGGCUGCCCUGCCCUCCUCUCUUCAUUCGGUCCUCCGUUGCUUCCGCUUGGCCCUUUUAUAUUGCUUCAAUUGUGUCCUUCAAAUCCUUAUAGGGAAAGAAUUAAAAACAAAAGGCAAGCCGCCUUAUUCUUUCAUGCAUGCACGUGACUUGUUCAAUUAAUAAGCUAAUAAAGAUUUGGUCAAAGCCCAUCACAAGAAUGUUUUCUUCUUUUAAUUCAUUCUUCGUAUGAUUUGCCUUAUUAAUUAACUUAUUUCCAAUGCUAAGUCUCCUCAUCUUCACGUGAAAUUCAAUUAAACCUUGGAUGCUUCAAUUUUCUUCCAUUUUAACUCCCAAUACUUUUCUUAAAUUUCCAAUUAAUUUCUUCUUUAAGUUCUCCUUACUUAAAUAUUCUGAUUUAAUUCUUCUUUAUUCCCAAAAUACACCUAAAAUAACAAAAUAUAAAAAUGAAAGUAAAAUUAACAUAAUAAAAAUAACUUAACCUAAAAUUAAGUUAAAGAAUAUAUAAAAAAUAAUAUAUAUAUUACUAGCACAUCAUAGCCUUUGAACUUUACAUACACUAAGUUAAGAAAUAGAACAACAAUAGCAGAAUAAUUUGGAACGUGACUAAGGUCCCCAACUAACAGAAUUCUAACUAGCUUGACUAAGGUUUGAUCAAUUGAUAACGCUGACCAAAUCUUCCACUCUUGCUUGCAAAUCGUGCACGUAACCCCCCAUGCAUAUUAGGGGUGUUUAAUGGUUUAGAUUUAUUGAAUUUUGUCAAACCUAAGUCCAAUCCAUCAUUUAUUGGAUAUUCUAUUUUAGAUCACAUCUGAUCUAAUCAUUAAUUGAAAUAUAAUAUAAUCCAAAGUAGUAAAAAUUAAAAUCCAAUUUAAUUUGAACGAUCAAUUCGAUUAAUCCAAUAGGAUAAAAAAAUUACAAAUAAAAAUCAUCAAUUGCUCUCAAAGUUCAAAUUACUGACAACUAAAAACAAAAAUUCAACUCCUUUAAUAUUUCAUGAUACAUAUUUUUAUUAUCACGUGAUUGAAACAUUAUUGACAUUGGUUGAGACUUACAGUUUGUACUAUGUAGUAGUAUUAUUAUUAUUAUUUGUAAAUUUAUAGUUAUACGAAAUUAGGCUAUAUUUCUUUUAGCAAGUUAAAUACGAAAGUGACAUGUAACUUUUUUUAAAAAAUAAACAAAAUAAAAAUUAAUUGUUUGGAUUGAUUUAUAUUGGAUUUAAACACAUAAAUCCAUAAACUAAUCUAACAACAUUAGAUUUCCCAUUUUGCAACCCAAUUCAAUCCAGUCAAAAGAUCAAUCCGACAAAAAUUAGAUUGGUUUGGAUUGAAUCAAUUGGUUUGAUUUGAUUAAAUUAGAUCUUGAACACCCCUACUGCAUACGGAGCACAUGUCACAUUGUCAUUGCCAGUGCAUGGGUUCCAUUCGUUGCUAAAGAUUUUUCUUUUUCUUUUUUUCUUUUUUUUUUCCAAAAAAUGAGGCUUCCAAUUGUUUGUUAUUUUACGAAUUACUUAAACUUUUAUUUCAACUUUGAUACACACACACACACACACAUCCAGGCUUAGCCGAAAACUUACUAAAUCAAACUGUAUUUUGGCAUAAGUAUAUAGCUAACUAAGUACAAUUAUAAAAAACUAAUUGAUUACAAUUAUUGAAUUAUAUUAUUUCAAUGAAGUUAAUUUAAGAUUUUAGUACUUAUUAUUUAUUUUUAAAAAUUUUAAAUUAUAUAAUUAUUUGAACUUAACCGCUUCUAUAUUGAAUAUCUGACUUUGCCAUUGCCUAAAGUUUUUUGUCCACAAUGAUACACGGCCUAUCUUUAGUUAGAAUUGCCUAAGAAUAAUAGAUUUAUGUACAAUAUGUUACAUGUCUAAUAGGAACAUUCGAAUUUGGACUUUUUUGCUCAAAUGGAACAUUACUUGCCAAUGCCAUGCUCAUUUAUAUCUCACGUAAAUUAGGUUCAUAAGAUGUGAGUUGCUUGUCACUUGCUCGCCCAAUUAUCCAAUGUGGGGAAAUUUAGCUCUUGUUGGUCGGGCUGGGCUCCUUUUCAGCCCGGUUAGCAAAAAAAAAGGAUAUGUAUACCUAUUUGGAGAAUUAGUUACAAGGACCUUAU
Molecule: long non-coding RNA, 4199 nt
Filed under: Citrus x clementina
Lineage: Eukaryota; Viridiplantae; Streptophyta; Magnoliopsida; Sapindales; Rutaceae
Description: Citrus clementina (C. clementina) long non-coding RNA (CCLE_LNC006534)
Source: RNAcentral